This 4349-nucleotide small RNA is filed under the name Pan troglodytes (chimpanzee). Its description in RNAcentral is "retained intron". The record is from RNAcentral. Lineage: Eukaryota; Metazoa; Chordata; Mammalia; Primates; Hominidae.
GUACUGAAAGUUGCUGGUAUACAGUGGUGAGCAAAUAAUAGCAGACCUUCAGGAGCUUAUGUUCCAAGGACAGGGAUGGACAUUGAUAGGAGAAUCACACAAACAAAACGCAAAGUCACAUCAGGAAGUUCUGGACAGCACCUUGCAGAGGUGGUGGUUGGAUGGACCAUCUGUAGGGAGUGAAGCAGGAGUUACCUGAGUGAUUCGGGGAGGAGGGGCCCUUCACAUGUGCAAAGGCCCAGCGUAGGAAGUGACGGGAGAGGAAGGCCGGGGCCAAACUACCUCAGGCCUUUUGGUCAAUACUGAAGGUUUUGAUGUUUUCUCCUGGGAGUGGCGGAACUCCAUUGAAAGACUCCAAGGGAGUGGCAUGACCAGAAUGAUCUCUGACGGCUCGCUCUGGGUACAGUGCAAAGGACAGGUGGGAGGAAGCCAGGCAGGCCCUCGGCUAUAGUGGUCUAGGGUGGAGACACCGGCAACUUGGGAACUAAAUGUGGGCACUAAAGAUAAAGAUACGUGUGUGGAUCCACGAGAGGUUUAGGACACGGCACUGCUCUGGGACUUGGUGAAGGAGGGGCUGUGGCAGGGACACAGGUGCUUUUGAUGCUUCUGUGGAUGCAGUGUCACCCUAUGGGGCCAACUCCUGGAGAAGGCAACACAGAAGUGGGAAACUUCCUGAUUUUGUGGAUGUGGAUCUUAGGUGGACAGCCUGAUGUCCAGGGCAAGUAUGCAUCUAGUUUCUUCCACUCUCCUUGAAUGAGAAGUUGUGGUUCAGUUCCUGGAUAGUAGAGCGUUCACCACUGAACGUUCACCACUGAAACAAUGGAUGAGUGGAAACACAUAGGACCAGGUAUGAAAGACAAGACUGUUUGAAGGUAAGUGAUCGCCAUUAACAUUUGUAAAUUUUCAUGAAAUUCAGAGCUUAUUAAUUCAGGUGAGUUAAAUAAAUGUAUUUUAAAAUUGCUAUUUCUAUUAUUAUAACUUUAAUGGCUUUAUAAUUUUACAGUUGAGUCUAUCUAGAUGGAUUACUGCAUAUCUGAGUAUAUAUGGAGCCAUCUGAGAAUUCCUCCCAAUUAUAUGUAAAAGAGGACUGAUUAAAUGCUGUGAAUUGAAAAUUUAUUUCUCUUUAUCAGACCUUUUGUAUCUUUUUAAUGAUGAUAUUUGGUGGAAAGGGAUUUGAUUUAGACACAUUGACCUACAUUCCAGGUUGUACUGAUGAUAAUUUACUUAUUAUUAGAGUAAGCUACCAAGAGAAAUCCUGGUGCCUUUCUUUUUGUAGAUAUUUACAUAAUUCCAGUUGCCUUUAUCAUAGCCACGUGAACAUAUAUUUUACACGGACUGGUUCAGGGAUUUAAUGAUAGAAUUAGAAAUAGCUAAGGAACUAGCUCUGAAAAGUAUUGUAAAUAAUCCUAAUCACAUUAGAUAUUUUGAUAAAAUAUUUGCCAGAUAACCUUUCAUUUACUCUUUUUGUAUAUAUUGCUUGAAAAAAAUUCAUAUGAAAGUGGAUUAGACUACUACGGCUGAUUAGAACUGGCUGGGUCAGCCUGGAGCCUGUCAGUGAGUGAGCAGGCCCCACCGGGAUUCCUGCAGACAUGAAGCGUGACACUCAGGGCCCCAGGCUAUGCCCCAGCUGUGCAAACAGCUUGGUUGCUGUGUCUGCAGUCUUUGUUCUCAUUAUCUGUGGAGCCUGCCCAAGCGCGGCGAUGCCUCGGGCACCAUUCCUGGGCUCACUUGGCUGCCUCUGACCCUUGCAGUCUACCCUGAUGGGAGAGUCUGCAUUUCCAUCCUCCACGCGCCAGGCGACGACCCCAUGGGCUACGAGAGCAGCGCGGAGCGGUGGAGUCCUGUGCAGAGCGUGGAGAAGAUCCUGCUGUCGGUGGUGAGCAUGCUGGCAGAGCCCAAUGACGAAAGUGGAGCUAACGUGGAUGCGUCCAAAAUGUGGCGCGAUGACCGGGAGCAGUUCUAUAAGAUUGCCAAGCAGAUCGUCCAGAAGUCUCUGGGACUGUGAGACCUGGCCUCGCACAGGCGCAUACACACCGCCAAGCAGCUCAGCAUUCUCCCCCGGCACACUUAGUGACAGUGAUGCUCUGUGCUGGUACCAAACAAGGCAGACUUGCAAGAACCACGGCAUCUUUUUUUUUUUUCAAACCUUUCCUACUUCAAACAGGCUUCUCUUCUGAAAUGAUGACUUAAUGUCGAAUAUUGACAGCUUACUGCAGUUUUACAGUAUUCCUCACAAAGGGCUUCAGGUAGAUUAUCAGAGCUGUCAGCACUACCUCUCCCCGCUGAAACCAGCAGUUCAUGGCUUCCUGUGGAUUCCCUCCCUCCCUGGAGUGUUGAGGGGGUUGUACCUGCCAGACUUCCAGGGGACGAUGGAAUACCCAGAACGCUCCUUCUGAAGAAAUGGGGCCCUGUAGCUGCAGCACAGGGGAAGGGCCCAGCACCCUUUCUGGGUCCCUCCUGGUUCCCUGUGGGCCCCAUGAGGAGUCCAUUACUUCCUUUCUUCCUUCAUAUUUUACAGGCAGAUGCUUUUCUUAUAAUCUAAUUACAUCUUUUCAUUUGUUAUAUAUUACAAACCAUCACACUUAGAAAUACUUCCAGGAAAUGCUUUUUUGAAGUGUGAAUUAAUAAGAAAUGGGGUAAAUAGAAAAGAAAUUUAUUGCUGAUUGGCCAGGUGCAGUGGUUCUUGCCUGUAAUCCCAGCUCUUUGGGAGGCCAAGGCAGGUAGAUCACAAGGUCAGGAAAUUGAGACCAUCCUGGCUAAUACAGUGAAACCCCAUGUCUGCUAAAAUUACAAAAAAUUAGCUGGGCAUGGUGAUGCACGCCUGUAGUCUCAGCUACUCAGGAGGCUGAGGCAGGAGAAUCGCUUGAACCCGGGAGGCAGAGGUAGCAGUGAGCUGAGGUCCCGCCACUGCACUCCAGCCUGAGCAACAGAGCGAGACUCAGUCUCAAAAAGAAAAAAAGAAAUUUAUUGCUGAUCACAAGGACAGACAGUUUUUUCCCGACCAUACUCAUCAAAGAUUUACAUUUGUAUAUUAGUAACUAGUGCAUUACUAGAGCAGGUGCAGGUGAGGUCUUUAAAGUUUCAAUGAAAGUUUCUUCUGGAUCUACAGAAAAAAUUUUUUUUUUUCGAUCUAAAAACUGGAAAUUCUAGGGUUUUUGUACAUUUUGGAUGCACUGGGAAUUUAUUAGCACAAAAUCAUUCUUUGCAACUCAAAAGUCAGAAGGGACUCUACCAUAUCUUAGCUCAGAGCACAGAGGAGUGCCUUAUCCCCACACUUGACUGGGCUGUGGAGGUGGGCAUGUGGGCCCCUGGGCCCAGGCUGGGGACAGAGCCCUUGUUUUGUGACUUAGGAUUUUGAUGUGGUUCCCAUGUUCUCUAACAGGGCCAGCUGAGCAGCACAGGCCAGGAGGCCACAGUGUAAGCAAUAACAGAUCUGCCACAUGCAGAAGCAAAUAUCAGGCCUGUUGCACACAGGCGGCAUUUAAAUAGGAAUUUCUAUUUUUGAAAUAAGGGAUGGUCUAUGAGGCAUACAGUAGAUUUGAUGUGAUCCUUUUCUUCCUCCCUUCCAUAAUGGAUGGUGGUCUGUGUGACUGAACCCACACAGAGUGUCAUGGGUGACAGUUUCUGGUUGAAGUAGCUCCACGCUGGGCUUCUGUGGACAGCAGAUUCUUUUCCUUCUCACAGGGGGCUCAUUUAAAAUUUGGAGGCUGGGUGCGGUGGCUCACGCCUGCAAUCCCAGCACUUUGGGAGACUGAGGCGGGCGGAUCAUGAGGUCAGGAGAUCGCGACCAUCCUGGCUAACAGUGAAACCCUGUCUCCACUAAAAAUACAAAAAAUUAGCCGGGCAUGGUGGCGGGCGCCUGUAGUCCCAGCUACUCUGAAGACUGAGGCAGGAGAAUGGCGUGGACCCAGGAGGCGGGGCUUGCAGUGAGCUGAGAUCGCGCCACUGCACUCCAGCCUGGGCAACAGAGUGAGACUCUGUCUCAAAAAAAAAAAAAAAAAAAAAAAAUGGAACGUAGGGCAAGAACUCGUAUUUGGAAGGAGAUGGGGGAAAGGAGCGGUAUUAUACCUAAGCUGUAUUUGCAGGCAAAUGAGAUGGAGCCCUCUCUGUAAAGAAGAGUCAUUUGUGCAAGUAGACGGGGUCUGUGGGUGCAGGCCCUGGAGGGGCACACAAUUGCCUGGAGGCUUCUGUGAGAUCGGGAGAGGGAGGAGAGGCAGUCUCUUGACAAAAUAAAGUAUUUUUAUUCAUUUGUAUUUAUUAAAUGAAAAAACAAUCCCAUGGUGUCCCUGUUGUGUGGUGGAACCUAAUCACUCUGUUGAAAUAAAGUUCUGUGUUUUCCCUGCCCUGCA